AAUAGUUCACGAGGGAGGCCGUAAAACGGCCUGAGAGUUCCGCACUUUAAGCGGAUUACCUUAAGAACCUGAUCUGGUUAAUACCAGCGUAGGGAGGUGAUAAAUGAUUUUUG
Molecule: non-coding RNA, 113 nt
Filed under: Elusimicrobiota bacterium
Lineage: Bacteria; Pseudomonadati; Elusimicrobiota
Description: Elusimicrobia bacterium TPP sequence
Rfam family: TPP riboswitch aptamer (THI element)
About the family: Vitamin B(1) in its active form thiamin pyrophosphate (TPP) is an essential coenzyme that is synthesised by coupling of pyrimidine and thiazole moieties in bacteria. The previously detected thiamin-regulatory element, thi box was extended, resulting in a new, highly conserved RNA secondary structure, the THI element, which is widely distributed in eubacteria and also occurs in some archaea.
Source: RNAcentral